RNAcentral lists this ribosomal RNA (254 nucleotides) under uncultured bacterium. RNAcentral's name for it is "partial 16S ribosomal RNA". It matches the Rfam family "Bacterial small subunit ribosomal RNA", at positions 524 to 776 of the family's 1533-position model. The record is from RNAcentral.
UACGUAGGCAGCAAGCGUUGUUCGGAAUUACUGGGCGUAAAGGGUGCGUAGGCGGCUUUUUAAGUUUGGUGUGAAAUCUCCUGGCUCAACUGGGAGGGUGCGCCGAAUACUGAAUGACUUCGAGUGCGGGAGAGGAGAGUGGAAUUCCUGGUGUAGCGGUGAAAUGCGUAGAUAUCAGGAGGAACACCGGUGGUGUAGACGGCUCUCUGGACCGUAACUGACGCUGAGACACGAAAGCGUGGGUAGCAAACAGG